AACCUUUCUCGGCCUUUUGGCUAAGAUCAAGUGUAGUAUCUGUUCUUAUCAGUUUAAUAUCUGAUACGUGGGUCAUCGGCCCACAUGAUAUUAAAUUUAUUUCUUUAGGGGAGGGCCCAUUACAAUGGCUUGCCAUUGGGGCUUCUCAGGUGUUUCCCAUGCGUAGCACUUCUGCUUGGGCCUGGCGCACCCCUC
Small nuclear RNA from Benincasa hispida (wax gourd), 195 nucleotides. RefSeq annotates it as U2 spliceosomal RNA. The record is from RefSeq and is a predicted model, not a curated record. Lineage: Eukaryota; Viridiplantae; Streptophyta; Magnoliopsida; Cucurbitales; Cucurbitaceae.